AAUCUUCCGCAAUGGACGAAAGUCUGACGGAGCAACGCCGCGUGAGUGAUGAAGGUUUUCGGAUCGUAAAGCUCUGUUGUUAGGGAAGAACAAGUACCUGUUAAAUAAGCAGGUACCUUGACGGUACCUAACCAGAAAGCCACGGCUAACUACGUGCCAGCAGCCGCGGUAAUACGUAGGUGGCAAGCGUUGUCCGGAAUUAUUGGGCGUAAAGCGCGCGCAGGCGGUUCCUUAAGUCUGAUGUGAAAGCCCACGGCUCAACCGUGGAGGGUCAUUGGAAACUGGGGAACUUGAGUGCAGAAGAGGAGAGCGGAAUUCCACGUGUAGCGGUGAAAUGCGUAGAGAUGUGGAGGAACACCAGUGGCGAAGGCGGCUCUCUGGUCUGUAACUGACGCUGAGGCGCGAAAGCGUGGGGAGCGAACAGGAUUAGAUACCCUGGUAGUCC
Molecule: ribosomal RNA, 445 nt
Filed under: Priestia endophytica
Lineage: Bacteria; Bacillati; Bacillota; Bacilli; Caryophanales; Bacillaceae
Description: bacterial SSU rRNA
Rfam family: Bacterial small subunit ribosomal RNA
Source: RNAcentral